GCUAAAUGAUUCAAGGUUAUCCAUCUACCAUCGAUUUCCCUUCAUUGGCUUGUUCCUUGAAGGAAAAUCAUAGAUUUGAAACAUUAUUGAACAGCUAGGGCUUUUGAAGCCCUACAGAAAUUUGGUCGCAGAUUGGGUAACCAACAAGGACGACACCGUUCAAAGCUUCCCAAUCUUCGUAGGAGGAGCUUCACUCUUGGCUGUGCUCUUCAAUCGCGCCGCUUCUAGUAUUGGUCUAGUUACUGGUGCCGGUAG
This 255-nucleotide unclassified non-coding RNA is filed under the name Hevea brasiliensis (rubber tree). Lineage: Eukaryota; Viridiplantae; Streptophyta; Magnoliopsida; Malpighiales; Euphorbiaceae. The record is from RNAcentral.